Molecule: ribosomal RNA, 274 nt
Filed under: uncultured Prevotella sp.
Lineage: Bacteria; Pseudomonadati; Bacteroidota; Bacteroidia; Bacteroidales; Prevotellaceae
Description: partial 16S ribosomal RNA
Rfam family: Bacterial small subunit ribosomal RNA
Source: RNAcentral
AGCAUGUUGGUUGCUUGCAACCAAUGAUGGCGACCGGCGCACGGGUGAGUAACGCGUAUCCAACCUACCCUUGUCCAUCGGAUAACCCGUCGAAAGGCGGCCUAACACGAUAUGCGGUUCACAGCAGGCAUCUAACGUGAACGAAAUGUGAAGGAGAAGGAUGGGGAUGCGUCUGAUUAGCUUGUUGGCGGGGUAACGGCCCACCAAGGCUACGAUCAGUAGGGGUUCUGAGAGGAAGGUCCCCACAUUGGAACUGAGACACGGUCCAAACUCC